Molecule: ribosomal RNA, 460 nt
Filed under: uncultured bacterium
Lineage: Bacteria
Description: partial 16S ribosomal RNA
Rfam family: Bacterial small subunit ribosomal RNA
Source: RNAcentral
CCUACGGGAGGCUGCAGUGAGGAAUAUUGGUCAAUGGGCGAGAGCCUGAACCAGCCAAGUCGCGUGAGGGAAGACGGCCCUAUGGAUUGUAAACCUCUUUUGUCGGGGAGUAAAAAGCGGUACGUGUACCGCAUCGUGUGUACCCGGUGAAAAAGCAUCGGCUAACUCCGUGCCAGCAGCCGCGGUAAUCCGGAGGAUGCGAGCGUUAUCCGGAUUUAUUGGGGUUAAAGGGUGCGGAGGCGGCCGCUUAAGUCAGCGGUGAAAUUUCGGGGCUCAACCCCAAAAAAGCAGUUGAGACUGGCUGGCUAGAGUGGGCGAGAGGUAUGCGGAAUGCGUGGUGUAGCGGUGAAAUGCAUAGAUAUCACGAAGAACUCCGAUUGCGAAGGCAGCAUACCGGCGCCCAACUGACGCUCAGGCACGAAAGCGUGGGUAUCGAACAGGAUUAGAUACCCGUGUAGUC